AUUGAACGCUGGCGGCAGGCCUAACACAUGCAAGUUGAACGGUAACAGGAAACAGCUUGCUGUUUCGCUGACGAGUGGCGGACGGGUGAGUAAUGUCUGGGAAACUGCCUGAUGGAGGGGGAUAACUACUGGAAACGGUAGCUAAUACCGCAUAACGUAGCAAGACCAAAGAGGGGGACCUUCGGGCCUCUUGCCAUCGGCUGUGCCCAGAUGGGAUUAGCUAGGAGGUGGGGUAACGGCUCACCUAGGCGACGAUCCCUAGCUGGUCUGAGAGUAUGACCAGCCACACUGGAACUGAGACACGGGCCAGACUCCUACGGGAGGCAGCAGUGGGGAAUAUUGCACAAUGGGCGCAAGCCUGAUGCAGCCAUGCCGCGUGUAUGAAGAAGGCCUUCGGGUUGUAAAGUACUUUCAGCGGGGAGGAAGGGAGUAAAGUUAAUACCUUUGCUCAUUGACGUUACCCGCAGAAGAAGCACCGGCUAACUCCGUGCCAGCAGCCGCCGCCG
This 506-nucleotide ribosomal RNA is filed under the name uncultured bacterium. RNAcentral describes it as "partial 16S ribosomal RNA". It matches the Rfam family "Bacterial small subunit ribosomal RNA", at positions 30 to 523 of the family's 1533-position model. The record is from RNAcentral.